RNAcentral lists this ribosomal RNA (204 nucleotides) under Klebsiella pneumoniae subsp. pneumoniae KpMDU1. Its description in RNAcentral is "partial 16S ribosomal RNA". It matches the Rfam family "Bacterial small subunit ribosomal RNA", at positions 1340 to 1533 of the family's 1533-position model. Lineage: Bacteria; Pseudomonadati; Pseudomonadota; Gammaproteobacteria; Enterobacterales; Enterobacteriaceae. The record is from RNAcentral.
AAUCGUAGAUCAGAAUGCUACGGUGAAUACGUUCCCGGGCCUUGUACACACCGCCCGUCACACCAUGGGAGUGGGUUGCAAAAGAAGUAGGUAGCUUAACCUUCGGGAGGGCGCUUACCACUUUGUGAUUCAUGACUGGGGUGAAGUCGUAACAAGGUAACCGUAGGGGAACCUGCGGUUGGAUCACCUCCUUACCUUAAAGAA